Molecule: long non-coding RNA, 202 nt
Filed under: Elaeis guineensis (African oil palm)
Lineage: Eukaryota; Viridiplantae; Streptophyta; Magnoliopsida; Arecales; Arecaceae
Description: long non-coding RNA (EGUI_LNC033928)
Source: RNAcentral
UUAAUAAGGAUGACAGCUUCUAUCGAGCAUAGGUCGCUGUAGGCCAUAUGGGUUGGUUGUCCUUUUAAUCAAGGAGUGUGGAGACACUAGUAUGGCAUACAGGUGAGAUAUAAGGGUAUAUCAUCAUUGAAUGUGACCAACUCCAGAGCAUUCUGCUGUCAAGAAUGUCUCUGAUGGGAUAUAGGUAUAAGUGUCCCUUAGA